CCUAGGCUACAGGUCUAACGAGGAGAUUUAUCAGGACUAUUUGGUACUAGCAACUGCAAAGCCCUGCAAAGAGCUAAAUGAGGAUGUGUCUGCAGAUCUUCAGGAAAGAUUUCACCUGGGGAUUUUCACAGGUAGGGCUGCCUUGUAUAGAAUGAUUGAAACUGAAGGAAUGAUUGAAACUUGAAAAAUGGCCACCCAGAGUUUUUUCACCAGUUCAUGCUUUGGAAAGGAGAUCUAAAGGGUAUUUUCCAAACAGUACAGAAAGAAGGGAGCUGAAAAAAAAAUCUGUGGCUAUGGCACCAACAGCUUGCUACCAUGUAUGCUAUGGGCUGUAGAAGCCUUUGCCAAACAGUUGUGUUUUCAGGAUCAGUAUCAAGGCUGCCUCUCAUCUACUUUCACAAAGUGUAUGAAGCUGUGGAGCUGCUCAAGUCAAACCAUUUUUACAGGGAAGCUAUUGCAGUUGCCAAUGCCUGGUUAUACCCAGAGGAUCCGAUCCUGAAGGACCAGUAUCUCAUCUGGGGAUCCAUCUAGAAAGAGAUGGCCAUUAUGCCAUAGCAGCCAAAUGCUAUU
This 570-nucleotide long non-coding RNA is filed under the name Marmota monax (woodchuck). Lineage: Eukaryota; Metazoa; Chordata; Mammalia; Rodentia; Sciuridae. The record is from RNAcentral.